GAGAGUGCUUGCCUCUUUGCUGACGAGCGGCGGACGGGUGAGUAUGCUUGGGAAUAUGCCUUUAGGUGGGGGACAACAGUUGGAAACGACUGCUAAUACCGCAUAAUGUCUACGGACCAAAGAGGGGGACCUUCGGGCCUCUUGCCUUUAGAUUAGCCCAAGUGAGAUUAGCUAGAUGGUAAGGUAAUGGCUUACCAUGGCGACGAUCUCUAGCUGGUUUGAGAGGAUGAUCAGCCACACUGGGACUGAGACACGGCCCAGACUCCUACGGGAGGCAGCAGUGGGGAAUAUUGCACAAUGGGCGCAAGCCUGAUGCAGCCAUGCCGCGUGUGUGAAGAAGGCCUUCGGGUUGUAAAGCACUUUCAGUUGUGAGGAAAGGGAUGUAGUUAAUAGCUGAUUCUGUGACGUUAGCAACAGAAGAAGGACCCGGCU
Molecule: ribosomal RNA, 432 nt
Filed under: uncultured Gammaproteobacteria bacterium
Lineage: Bacteria; Pseudomonadati; Pseudomonadota; Gammaproteobacteria
Description: bacterial SSU rRNA
Rfam family: Bacterial small subunit ribosomal RNA
Source: RNAcentral